RNAcentral lists this ribosomal RNA (128 nucleotides) under uncultured bacterium. Its description in RNAcentral is "partial 16S ribosomal RNA". It matches the Rfam family "Bacterial small subunit ribosomal RNA", at positions 917 to 1045 of the family's 1533-position model. The record is from RNAcentral.
GGGCCCGCACAAGCAGCGGAGCAUGUGGUUUAAUUCGACGCGACGCGAAGAACCUUACCUGGGCUUGACAUGUUUCUGACCGCCGUGGAAACACGGCUUCUCUUCGGAGCAGAAUCACAGGUGGUGCA